AUCUGGUCAUGGCAAACGCA
This 20-nucleotide non-coding RNA is filed under the name Arabidopsis thaliana (thale cress). The record is from RNAcentral. Lineage: Eukaryota; Viridiplantae; Streptophyta; Magnoliopsida; Brassicales; Brassicaceae.